RNAcentral lists this ribosomal RNA (433 nucleotides) under uncultured bacterium. RNAcentral's name for it is "partial 16S ribosomal RNA". It matches the Rfam family "Bacterial small subunit ribosomal RNA", at positions 29 to 507 of the family's 1533-position model. The record is from RNAcentral.
AACGAACGCUGGCGGCAUGCCUAACACAUGCAAGUCGAACGAGACCUUCGGGUCUAGUGGCGCACGGGUGCGUAACGCGUGGGAACCUGCCCUUAGGUUCGGAAUAACUCCCCGAAAGGGGUGCUAAUACCGGAUAAUGUCUUCGGACCAAAGAUUUAUCGCCUUUGGAUGGGCCCGCGUUGGAUUAGCUAGUUGGUAGGGUAAAAGCCUACCAAGGCGACGAUCCAUAGCUGGUCUGAGAGGAUGAUCAGCCACACUGGGACUGAGACACGGCCCAGACUCGUACGGGAGGCAGCAGUGGGGAAUAUUGGACAAGGGGCGAAAGCCUGAUCCAGCAAUGCCGCGUGAGUGAUGAAGGCCUUAGGGUUGUAAAGCUCUCUUACCCGGGAUGAUAAUGACAGUACCGGGAGAAUAAGCACCGGCUAACUCCGUG